GUUUAGGGGUAAACCUGAGAAACCCGAAAGGUCGAAGGGAGAAAUUCAUUCGCGUUUCGUCGCAGGCGUUAGAUGGUCGUGUGACGGGGAGCGUUCGCGUUCUCCGCGCCUUCCGUUUAUCGAACCGGCAGCGAACGCGUGCACUUUUCUCCUGGUAGGACGUCGCGAUCCGUUGAGCGUCGGUCUACGGCUCGCGGUGGAGCCCGUUCGUGCCACGUGUGCGAGCGGACCCGCGUGUCCCGGCUGACUCGCUCGACGGUAUACGAAAGGUCAAAGGCCGCUCUCGGAGCGUUCGACUCGUGGCAAGCGCGCCAGAUGCGUCGGCGAUCGGACCCGGUGCCGAUUCUGACCUCUGGUGACUGUUGGCCGCGAAUGUCUCGGACAGACCUUCCGACCGAUCUGCGACGCUAUAGCUUUGGGUACUUUCAGGACCCGUCUUGAAACACGGACCAAGGAGUCUAGCAUGUGCGCGAGUCAUUGGGAAUCACUAAACCUAAAGGCGCAAUGAAAGUAAAGGUCUUCCUCGCGGAGACUGAGGGAGGACGGGCGGUUUACCCUUAAAAGUGGCCGCUCCGCACUCCCGGGGCGUCUCGUUCUCAUUGCGAGAAGAGGCGCACCAUGAGCGUACACGCUGGGACCCGAAAGAUGGUGAACUAUGCCUGGUCAGGACGAAGUCAGGGGAAACCCUGAUGGAGGUCCGUAGCGAUUCUGACGUGCAAAUCGAUCGUCGGAACUGGGUAUAGGGGCGAAAGACUAAUCGAACCAUC
This 767-nucleotide ribosomal RNA is filed under the name Rhinoncus pericarpius. RNAcentral's name for it is "eukaryotic LSU rRNA". It matches the Rfam family "Eukaryotic large subunit ribosomal RNA", at positions 407 to 944 of the family's 3401-position model. Lineage: Eukaryota; Metazoa; Arthropoda; Insecta; Coleoptera; Curculionidae. The record is from RNAcentral.